Non-coding RNA from Heligmosomoides polygyrus, 75 nucleotides. The record is from Rfam. NCBI's taxonomy places the organism in Eukaryota, Metazoa, Nematoda, Chromadorea, Rhabditida, Heligmosomidae.
GCGCCGGUGGUGUAAAGGCGUAGAGCAUUCCCGCCCGGUCAGAGGGAGGUGCGGGUUCGAGUCCCGCCUGGCGCU